This 168-nucleotide unclassified non-coding RNA is filed under the name soil metagenome. Its description in RNAcentral is "partial internal transcribed spacer 1". The record is from RNAcentral.
CCAUAGAGCUAUGUAGGCUUGCACCGCCUAUCUCUAGCCAAUGUCUUGAGUAUUUAUUACCCUUUUGCGCCUUGUUUCCUCGGGCGGGUUCCGCCCGCCGCAUGGACCACAUUAUAAACCAUUUUAUGCAGUUGCAAUCAGCGUCAUGACAACAAAUGUAAUCAGUUA